This 486-nucleotide ribosomal RNA is filed under the name Pichia kudriavzevii. Its description in RNAcentral is "eukaryotic LSU rRNA". It matches the Rfam family "Eukaryotic large subunit ribosomal RNA", at positions 110 to 607 of the family's 3401-position model. The record is from RNAcentral. Lineage: Eukaryota; Fungi; Ascomycota; Pichiomycetes; Pichiales; Pichiaceae.
CAGAUUUGAAAUCGUGCUUUGCGGCACGAGUUGUAGAUUGCAGGUUGGAGUCUGUGUGGAAGGCGGUGUCCAAGUCCCUUGGAACAGGGCGCCCAGGAGGGUGAGAGCCCCGUGGGAUGCCGGCGGAAGCAGUGAGGCCCUUCUGACGAGUCGAGUUGUUUGGGAAUGCAGCUCCAAGCGGGUGGUAAAUUCCAUCUAAGGCUAAAUACUGGCGAGAGACCGAUAGCGAACAAGUACUGUGAAGGAAAGAUGAAAAGCACUUUGAAAAGAGAGUGAAACAGCACGUGAAAUUGUUGAAAGGGAAGGGUAUUGCGCCCGACAUGGGGAUUGCGCACCGCUGCCUCUCGUGGGCGGCGCUCUGGGCUUUCCCUGGGCCAGCAUCGGUUCUUGCUGCAGGAGAAGGGGUUCUGGAACGUGGCUCUUCGGAGUGUUAUAGCCAGGGCCAGAUGCUGCGUGCGGGGACCGAGGACUGCGGCCGUGUAGGUC